Molecule: non-coding RNA, 295 nt
Organism: Pelobates cultripes (western spadefoot toad)
Lineage: Eukaryota; Metazoa; Chordata; Amphibia; Anura; Pelobatidae
Source: the annotation of a GenBank genome assembly
AGGAGAGUGAGCUGGGUGGGAUAUACAAAGUAGAGAAGUGGAAUGAAUUUUUAUUAUCGUUAAAAGGUAUCACUCAAUGUGCAAACCAUUUGGAAUCCCAUUACAAAUUAAUUUAUAGAUGGUACCUAACCCCUUCCAAACUUUUUAACAUGCACCUUAGCGAAAAUAAUAAAUGCUGGAGAGGCUGCGGUCAAAUUGGUAAAUUUCUCCACGUCUUCUAUUCGUCUCCCAAAAUUAAAACUUGAUUAAUAAAGUGAUAACUAUCUGGAGUACUAUAGCUUUCAUAACAUAGAAU